This 460-nucleotide ribosomal RNA is filed under the name uncultured bacterium. Its description in RNAcentral is "partial 16S ribosomal RNA". It matches the Rfam family "Bacterial small subunit ribosomal RNA", at positions 338 to 795 of the family's 1533-position model. The record is from RNAcentral.
CCUACGGGAGGCUGCAGUGAGGAAUAUUGGUCAAUGGGCGCGAGCCUGAACCAGCCAAGUAGCGUGAAGGAUGACUGCCCUACGGGUUGUAAACUUCUUUUAUAAAGGAAUAAAGUGAGGCACGUGUGCCUUUUUGUCUGUACUUUAUGAUUAAGGCUCGGCUAACUCCGUGCCAGCAGCCGCGGUAAUACGGAGGAUCCGAGCGUUAUCCGGAUAUAUUGGGUUUAAAGGGUGCGUAGUUGGGUUGGUAAGUCAGUUGUGAAAGUUUGCGGCUUAACCGUAAAAUUGCAAUUGAUACUGGCAGUCUUGAGUACAGUUGAGGUAGGCGGAAUGCGUGGUGUAGCGGUGAAAUGCUUAGAUAUCACGAAGAACUCCGAUUGCGAAGGCAGCUUACUAAACUGCCACUGACAUUGAUGCUCGAAAGUGUGGGUAUCAAACAGGAUUAGAUACCCUUGUAGUC